Molecule: long non-coding RNA, 609 nt
Filed under: Marmota monax (woodchuck)
Lineage: Eukaryota; Metazoa; Chordata; Mammalia; Rodentia; Sciuridae
Source: RNAcentral
CUCCUUUAUGCUGAGAAGCACUAGGGUGUGUACCUUUCUACUAACAAUAGAAACUCCCAUUGGCAGAGCCAACCUGAAGAGGGUGUGGGUGGUGUGGGUCUCCUCUAGCCAUUGGGUGAACCCACUCACCACUUCUCCCCACCUCAACCCAUUCCAUCAAAGAAAAUAAGUAUUUGUCCUGUCCACCACUUGGGGCCACUGGUUUUUAUUUUGAGGUAAUUGGGGCACCAUAUAGUUAUUAAGAAACACUCAGAUGUUUCCCUCUAAUAGAACUGGAUGACAAGGGCCUACUGUAAUACUGACAUAAGCAGAAGUCAGGCUAGCUGUUCUCAUCAUCACGUUGGCCAUAGGACAACUCUUGUCCUCAACCCAUCUGCAACCAUGAGCCUUUAUUACUACUCUUUUGUCAUCCUAAGAAUGCUACCCCUAGCCAGGUGAGAUGGCACACACCUGUAAUCCCAGUGGAUUGGAGAGGCUGAGGCAGGAGGAUCACAAAGCCAUCCCCUAAAGGGGAUCACACAAUUUUGACUUAGAUUUAGAGAAAUAUGAAUUCUCAAGAUUUCAUUCAUAUCAUUGCAUAUGCUGAUAACUCAUUUCUUUGUGUUGCUU